AUAGCUUGACACUGAACAUUGAGCCUUGAUGUGUAGGAUAGGUGGGAGGCUUUGAAGUGUGGACGCCAGUCUGCAUGGAGCCAACCUUGAAAUACCACCCUUUAAUGUUUGAUGUUCUAACGUAGACCCGUAAUCCGGGUUGCGGACAGUGUCUGGUGGGUAGUUUGACUGGGGCGGUCUCCUCCCAAAGAGUAACGGAGGAGCACGAAGGUUAGCUAAUCCUGGUCGGACAUCAGGAGGUUAGUGCAAUGGCAUAAGCUAGCUUGACUGCGAGCGUGACGGCGCGAGCAGGUGCGAAAGCAGGUCAUAGUGAUCCGGUGGUUCUGAAUGGAAGGGCCAUCGCUCAACGGAUAAAAGGUACUCCGGGGAUAACAGGCUGAUACCGCCCAAGAGUUCAUAUCGACGGCGGUGUUUGGCACCUCGAUGUCGGCUCAUCACAUCCUGGGGCUGAAGUAGGUCCCAAGGGUAUGGCUGUUCGCCAUUUAAAGUGGUACGCGAGCUGGGUUUAGAACGUCGUGAGACAGUUCGGUCCCUAUCUGCCGUGGGCGCUGGAGAAUUGAGGGGGGCUGCUCCUAGUACGAGAGGACCGGAGUGGACGCAUCACUGGUGUUCGGGUUGUCAUGCCAAUGGCAUUGCCCGGUAGCUACAUGCGGAAGAGAUAAGUGCUGAAAGCAUCUAAGCACGAAACUUGCCCCGAGAUGAGUUCUCCCUGAGACUUUAAGUCUCCUGAAGGAACGUUGAAGACGACGACGUUGAUAGGCUGGGUGUGUAAGUGCAGCGAUGCAUUGAGCUAACCAGUACUAAUGAACCGUGAGGCUUAACCUUACAACGCCAAAGGUGUUUUG
This 845-nucleotide ribosomal RNA is filed under the name Salmonella enterica subsp. diarizonae. RNAcentral describes it as "partial 23S ribosomal RNA". It matches the Rfam family "Bacterial large subunit ribosomal RNA", at positions 2106 to 2925 of the family's 2925-position model. Lineage: Bacteria; Pseudomonadati; Pseudomonadota; Gammaproteobacteria; Enterobacterales; Enterobacteriaceae. The record is from RNAcentral.